AAAAUAUAAGAACAUGUCCGUUAACUUUUAACUAAAAAAAUUAAGAACCGGUACUUAAAUAAGAGUUUUAAGAGCCAAUUUUUAACUUUUUUAGCUAAAAGUUAAGAGACGGAUUUUUAUAUUAC
Molecule: non-coding RNA, 125 nt
Organism: Brassica napus (rape)
Lineage: Eukaryota; Viridiplantae; Streptophyta; Magnoliopsida; Brassicales; Brassicaceae
Source: Rfam